This is a long non-coding RNA of Amphimedon queenslandica, 101 nucleotides long. RefSeq lists it as uncharacterized. Lineage: Eukaryota; Metazoa; Porifera; Demospongiae; Haplosclerida; Niphatidae. The transcript has 3 exons. The record is from RefSeq and is a predicted model, not a curated record.
UUCCUAUAGCUACAGUAGCUGAUAAAAUUGAUACAGAAAGUACUGCUGCUACUGCUACUGUAACUGAUAAAAUUGAUACAAAAAAAAUAGAAAAAUGGCUG